Molecule: small RNA, 90 nt
Filed under: Syntrophomonadaceae bacterium
Lineage: Bacteria; Bacillati; Bacillota; Clostridia; Eubacteriales; Syntrophomonadaceae
Description: tRNA-OTHER
Rfam family: Selenocysteine transfer RNA
Source: RNAcentral
GGAAGAGCAAGCCAACUGGAGGUGGCCGCGGUCUUGAAAACCGUUAGGACUAUUAAUAGCGUCGUGUGGGUUCGACUCCCACCUCUUCCG